RNAcentral lists this ribosomal RNA (446 nucleotides) under uncultured organism. RNAcentral's name for it is "partial 16S ribosomal RNA". It matches the Rfam family "Bacterial small subunit ribosomal RNA", at positions 333 to 796 of the family's 1533-position model. The record is from RNAcentral.
ACACUCCUGCGGGAGGCAGCAGUGGGGAAUAUUGGACAAUGGGCGCAAGCCUGAUCCAGCCAUGCCGCGUGAGUGAUGAAGGCCCUAGGGUUGUAAAGCUCUUUCACCGGUGAAGAUAAUGACGGUAACCGGAGAAGAAGCCCCGGCUAACUUCGUGCCAGCAGCCGCGGUAAUACGAAGGGGGCUAGCGUUGUUCGGAUUUACUGGGCGUAAAGCGCACGUAGGCGGACUAUUAAGUCAGGGGUGAAAUCCCGGGGCUCAACCCCGGAACUGCCUUUGAUACUGGUAGUCUUGAGUUCGAGAGAGGUGAGUGGAAUUCCGAGUGUAGAGGUGAAAUUCGUAGAUAUUCGGAGGAACACCAGUGGUGAAGGCGGCUCACUGGCUCGAUACUGACGCUGAGGUGCGAAAGCGUGGGGAGCAAACAGGAUUAGAAACCCGGGUAGUCC